AGUUUCCUGCUGUCGUAAGAAGCCGCGCCAGGACGCCCGCCGGACCCCGAGCUGCUGGGAGGAUGACCAUGGCUGGGGGCAGGAGGGGACUAGUGGCCCCUCAAAACACGUUUCUGGAGAAUAUUGUUCGGCGGUCCAAUGGUAAGAGGUGCAUUCGGAUUUCGAUUACCCGGGCGUUUUAUCCGUGCCUUUAUUGCAGAACCUCUCGCCGCUCGGAGCCAGCAGAUGCAGCAGAACCCGCGAGCUCUGCUAAGGAGCCGCGGCGCGGGCACCCAGGGCAGCCUCCCCGAGGCAGAGAAAGGUGGGCAGGGCGGGGCGGGGUCUGAUGGGUCCCCAUCCUAACAGGAGAGCUCUUCUGGGGACGCCUUUUGGGCCUUUCUAGCGCCCUCUCGGUCUUAUCUCCAAGGAUGCGUGACAGCUGCUGAGCAAAGUACUGGGAAAAGUGAUGGAAAGCUGGCUGCAGCCGGAGCGGCAGCGCGCGCCCCAUCGGCACUGCCCACCCUUCCGCGAAGGCUCUGGGGCUCCCGGGCUGCUCCCAGAGGCGCCGCCUCUCCCCAGGGAGAGCCAGCAGUAGAGACGGGCAACUCCAGGUCCCCGCUGCCUCAGAAUGGGAGGAUCCGGCUGCCUCCACCUUCCAUCCCUGCAACUGAAAAGUCCGAGGUGUCGGGACGUGCUCUCGGCGGCCUGAUUCCACCCCUUCACCCACCCACCACUUUCUAGGUGAAGUUAAGGCUCACCUUCGAAGUGAGGGGCAGAUGGUUUUCCUGGCGUCAGGUGGGAAGUGGAGGGCACAGGUGCAGAGCGAACUAAAUGGUCACAGAUCGACGGUAGCAUGAAGCCUUGAGAGGCGAGAGUCCUAGGAGCGGGGAUGGAAAGGAAGAAUUCCAAACGCCUUUCGGACUUAACAGAGGAGAGACCCCAACUAAGCACUUGCAGAGCGACUAGGAGUCCUGGCAGUUGGAAGGCGCAGCGCACGAGUUCAUCAAAUGGCUAUAUUGAAAGAUAGCCAAGCAUAAGAUGCUCUUUGCAGACUCCUAGAGCCCCCACCCCACCCCUUCCAGAAACAGAUGACAUUCUUCUACCAGGGAGACAUGAGGAGCUAACUUAGGAAAUGGGUUUUAAUAAUGUGUAAAUAUCACGAUUUCAGAGUCUAAGGAGCUUCUGUGUAAAAUGAUGAGCUUCUGUUUGGAUUUAGUUAGGGAUUCAGGGGAAGGGCAUGAAAAGUGACUUAUGCUACUAAUAAACACUCUUUAAUUAAACAGUGAUUUAAGUUUAUCUUAUAAUGAAACACAUCAACUAGCAUAGCAAAUAAUCACGUAUUAUUUAAGUACUUUCUUAGAAAUGAUCAUUUCUUUAUUGUGUGCCUCUUAAGAGUGUUUCUGGUCAGUCACCUUUCCUUUCAAGGUCUUCCUUAUUCAAACUAAGGUGGCUUUUAGGUCAAGGUCACAGUCAUUACCUGGGGAUGCAAGGGGAUGAUAAUUGCUAUGUGAACAGCCACAAUGAACUGUUUUGCCAUAAAAAAGCUGGAGUUGUUCAUUUAUUUUUAAAUAAAAUAAGAGUUACUGUGCU
Molecule: long non-coding RNA, 1569 nt
Filed under: Homo sapiens (human)
Lineage: Eukaryota; Metazoa; Chordata; Mammalia; Primates; Hominidae
Description: HSALNT0297994
Source: RNAcentral